This is a long non-coding RNA of Hirundo rustica (Barn swallow), 2619 nucleotides long. RefSeq lists it as uncharacterized. The transcript has 4 exons. The record is from RefSeq and is a predicted model, not a curated record. Lineage: Eukaryota; Metazoa; Chordata; Aves; Passeriformes; Hirundinidae.
AGGUGCUAUGUGUCCUGGCUGAUGACUGCACCAGCUCCUGGAGGCAAUUCACAUCCUCGGCAGUGCUGCGCUGGGAGAGAGGCAGGGAGCUGUGUGGACCCUAAUCUCCAGAAACAGAGAGGACAAAUGAUGGAAAAAGUUUUGAGAGGGGCUUGCUGCUCUCGUGGUUUGCAGUUGAGCCCUCAAACAGGCUGUAAUUUGGAGAGCUGGUCUAUACUUUCAUGACAGGAGCAAGCAGCCAAGCUGGGGGAAAACUUGCAAGCUGAAAAACCAAGUAGAGCUGUUGUGACCAUCCCCUGUGGAGAGCCCUACGGACUGGUGUUUUCUGUUCAUUACACCUCACUUUGCCAAGACCUGGUUUCCUGCUGGCAGUCUCAUAUCCUAUAUCCUCCAUCUUCGUUUUCCUUUAUUUCCCUAAAAAAAUAGGAAGGUCUGUGUCCAGCCACAAUGACGGGGUCCCGAAUUUGGAGUCAAAAACGUUCUUACUGAGCCGUGCAAGGCUGACAUGAGACAACAGGGAGGUGACUCAGUCCUUUCAGUACGUUUCCAUGUUCCCAGCUGCUGUAGGAAAUAAACAAUCCACUGGGACUACUUGGAUGCCAGAGGACAAGUCCAGUCCAAAAAAAACCCCCUCACAUUUACUGAGGUAGAGAGAGUCCUGAGGAGGAGGAAUAUUUCCAGGUCAAAAAUCAAAGUGAAGCUGUUGCAGUCUAUUUGCGAGCACUGUCUUGGCAGAAGGUCUGAAAGUCUUGCACUAUCCCAAUAGGUCUGUAAGUCCUGUGUGUUCCUACAAAGUCACCUUCUGAUGCUCUUGUUGAUGGCAAGGGGUGUUUGUUCAAUGAUCAGCUUCAUGGAGGUCAGCAAGAGUGUUGCAGAACAUGAACUGCAGGAUAGGGGCUGAGAAAGUCAACUGAAUGACUGAAAGAUUUAGCGGCUUCAAUGACCGAAUUGUCUGCGUAUUUCUGGAAGAAGGUGCUGGUCCAGAGGUGUUAAGAAAUCCUGUUGACAAAAAUCAAGAUUCCAUUCUGUAGACUGAAAAUGCCUUAUUUGCCUUCUGUUCAACAGCUAACCUGGGAGAUCUCUACAAACAGCCCAUUUCAGGGCAUGUUUUAGGGUGGUUCCUAAAACCCAAGACAGGGAAAAAUCAAGUUUGAGAAGUAUGUUGGCUAGGCCUUGGGUCAGAGAUACAUGGGGUGAAAAAAGACCAUCUCAGCAUGGAGUGGUUUGGAACACAGACAGACAGAAGUGCAGGGAAGGCCUUUGGACUGGAAAUGUGUUGUGCAUGUUACAUCCUUUGCUCUUUAUCCUCCUUUUUCUGAAGAACUGUCUGUGGACAUUUGGAGAUUAUGCUGUUAGCUGAACAAACAAAAGGGAUUAAGACUUGGCUGGUUCAUUUUUCCACCCUCCACCCAUCUUGGAAUUCAUUACCAUUCAUUGCCACUAACCAAAAUAACAAGGGGACCAGCCAUGCACCGUGCUGCUUCCUCUGUCCCAAUUUCUGUGUAGCGGCAGAUUUGUCCAUGAAGACCACCAAGCAGGCAUAGCCAUAGGAAAGGAGCUAAACUUCCCCAAAACGGCUUGGUCACGCCACAAUCCCAACACAAGGCUAGCUUGCACGCUAAUUCCUUUCCACUAGAAUCAAUAAGGGCUGAGGGAUGUUAAUUUUAUGUUUGCCUGUAUGUAUUUAAAUGUGUGCAUGUGCUCACAUUUAAAUCGCAUGUGUCUGUGGGAAAGGUCUAAGCUUGGUCUCAUCUGACUUUUGGGCAAAAUGUCACUGGAGUUGUUACCUGAGUCUGCCACAGUCCUCAAAACAGCCUUUCUGUGACCUGUUCUUCCUGCCGGGGUCAACUGGAAGAGCCACCCUUGAGGUCCUUUUUUCUGCCUCUACACAGAGGAAGGUAUGAGCCUGAAUGGGAGCGGAUGAUCGAAGAGCAGCUGUUACAUUUCCAGAUGCCAGGAAAGAUGAAAGCAAACCUCCUUCCACUCUGCCUUUGUGGGGGGUAUUGGAUGGGCUGUGACAUCUGAGCCUGUGGAUGUCUGGUGAAGUAACUCCAGGCAGUGCAUGGAGACACUCAUCUCCCUGGGAGAACUGUAACCAGUGGGAGAGCAAAGGAGCUGCUCCUGCAUGAGGUGAAUCGCUCACAAGCUCACCAAGAACCUCGGAGAUCCUCAGCAUUUAAUGUGUAACACCAACUUCCCUCCAUGCUGACCCUACCUGCAGGUGAACUGGGUUGUGACCAGAAAGGCAGCGAGGUCCUGGAGAGUAAAACCAGCAUCUGGCUCCCAUGCUGGCAUUCCAUGAGAAUAUGUCACAGCCCCUCCAGUGCCAAGGCCUGAGUGUGUUUCCUGCACCACUCACCAGUGUGGAGAUUCUGGUAUGCUACUUGAGGUGGUCUGGGAAUUUAGCUGCCUCUUGGACGUGGUGUCUGAAGCAGGGGUCCAAAACACUGGUGUGCAUGUGCUCUGUGACCACUCAGAAAAUGUUGCCGAUGGACCCAAAUUCCUUCCUCCAACUUGCAUGCAAACAAGCCACUAAUGUCACUGGCAGUUGAAUGUGCAUAUCUGAGGGCAAAGUUUGGCCAAAAGCCUUUGUGCAGAAGUUUUAGCAUAAUCACCCAG